AUUUAGAGGAAAGAGAAGUCGUNNCAAGGUUUCCGUAGGUGAACCUGCGGAAGGAUCAUUGUCGAGACCUGCCCAGCAGAAGGACCGGCGAA
This 92-nucleotide ribosomal RNA is filed under the name Ficus lilliputiana. Its description in RNAcentral is "partial 18S ribosomal RNA". The stretch from base 1 to 61 matches the Rfam family "Eukaryotic small subunit ribosomal RNA", at positions 1771 to 1831 of the family's 1831-position model. Lineage: Eukaryota; Viridiplantae; Streptophyta; Magnoliopsida; Rosales; Moraceae. The record is from RNAcentral.